GGGGACGACAUGGUUUCGACGCCGGUUACAAACCCAGAGGUGCAUGCCGAGAGGGCGGUAACUCUCGUACUUCAAAUACCGCAAAACAUAGUCGCAAACGACGAAACUUACGCUUUAGCAGCCUAACGGCCGCUUAGCCACUCACGCUAAGGUGCUUACCCCGCGGUACUGAGUGUCAUUCAGAAUAAGCUAGUUGGCCGGAUCGCCUUGCUCCGGCUUGCGAAACCUUAAAGGCUAGCCUUCGGCACCCUGCCCCUCGGGUCGCUUCGGGUUAAAGCAAUUGAGGGAAUCUAAGCAUGUAGAGCCGAUGGCAGAGGACUGACGGACGCGGGUUCAAUUCCCGCCGUCUCCACCA
This 355-nucleotide transfer-messenger RNA is filed under the name Oleiphilaceae. Its description in RNAcentral is "JADJWY01 sp016716085 Standard tmRNA". It matches the Rfam family "transfer-messenger RNA". From Rfam's summary of the family: Bacterial tmRNA, also known as 10Sa RNA or SsrA, is named for its dual tRNA and mRNA-like properties. Its role is to liberate the mRNA from a stalled ribosome. To accomplish this part of the tmRNA is used as a reading frame that ends in a translation stop signal. RNAcentral also lists the same sequence under 2 other names. Lineage: Bacteria; Pseudomonadati; Pseudomonadota; Gammaproteobacteria; Oceanospirillales. The record is from RNAcentral.